GAGUUUGAUCCUGGCUCAGGACGAACGCUGGCGGCGUGCUUAACACAUGCAAGUCGAACGGGAAUUACUUUAUUGAAACUUCGGUCGAUUUAAUUUAAUUCUAGUGGCGGACGGGUGAGUAACGCGUGAGUAACCUGCCCUUGAGAGGGGGAUAACGUCUGGAAACGGACGCUAAUACCGCAUAAAAUUAUCCAGUCGCAUGGCAGGAUAAUCAAAGGAGCAAUCCGCUGAAGGAUGGACUCGCGUCCGAUUAGAUAGUUGGCGGGGUAACGGCCCACCAAGUCGACGAUCGGUAGCCGGACUGAGAGGUUGAACGGCCACAUUGGGACUGAGACACGGCCCAGACUCCUACGGGAGGCAGCAGUGGGGGAUAUUGCACAAUGGGCGAAAGCCUGAUGCAGCAACGCCGCGUGAGGGAAGACGGUUUUCGGAUUGUAAACCUCUGUUCUAAGUGACGAAG
This 460-nucleotide ribosomal RNA is filed under the name uncultured bacterium. RNAcentral describes it as "bacterial SSU rRNA". It matches the Rfam family "Bacterial small subunit ribosomal RNA", at positions 9 to 450 of the family's 1533-position model. The record is from RNAcentral.